AAACUAAGGAUUAUCUUGCUAGGCAUGGGUUAAGAAAUGCUGUCUAUUCCAUUGAUGCUGCAGAUGCAAUAGAUGGGUUGUUUGAUGAUCUGGUUCUCCGCCCUUUUCAGGUGAUCUAUAAGUAGCUGUAUGAUAUAAGCAGCUUUGAUUGGCAAUUUGGCAAGACAAAGCCAGAAUCUUGCAUAGUUUAGCAAACAUUGACUUCUAAGCAGAGCUUAAAAGUUUCAGGAAUCUACUGACAGCAACAAUACCAAACUUGGUUACUCCACCACAAUGAGGAUUUCGAAGUUCUAACCAACACAUCAUUCAUAGAUAAAGAUAAUGAGAUACACUAUUACUUCUUAGCUUGAUCUCCCAUGGCCUCUGUUUUCGUAAUCAUAAAUGUGCAGCCUGAGAAUAAGUAUACAAAAGAAUUUGCUAUAAAUGAAUGGUACUCUAUACUUGAAGUCUUUUGUAUAUUUGCUAAUGAAUGUUUGAUGAUUGAAAAGGUGAUCUAUUAUAUAAUAUCCAUAUCUGAAACUA
Panicum virgatum (switchgrass) is the source of this 522-nucleotide long non-coding RNA. RefSeq lists it as uncharacterized. NCBI's taxonomy places the organism in Eukaryota, Viridiplantae, Streptophyta, Magnoliopsida, Poales, Poaceae. The record is from RefSeq and is a predicted model, not a curated record. The transcript has 3 exons.